This 588-nucleotide ribosomal RNA is filed under the name uncultured Bacteroidota bacterium. RNAcentral's name for it is "bacterial SSU rRNA". It matches the Rfam family "Bacterial small subunit ribosomal RNA", at positions 16 to 572 of the family's 1533-position model. The record is from RNAcentral. Lineage: Bacteria; Pseudomonadati; Bacteroidota.
AUCCUGGCUCAGGACGAACGCUGGCGGCGUGCCUAAUACAUGCAAGUCGAACGAAGCUUUCUUUCACCGAAUGCUUGCAUUCACCGAAAGAUGCUUAGUGGCGAACGGGUGAGUAACACGUAGGCAACCUGCCCAAAAGAGGGGGAUAACACUUGGAAACAGGUGCUAAUACCGCAUAACCAUGAACACCGCAUGAUGUUCAUGUAAAAGACGGCUUUUGCUGUCACUUUUGGAUGGGCCUGCGGCGUAUUAACUUGUUGGUGGGGUAACGGCCUACCAAGGUGAUGAUACGUAGCCGAACUGAGAGGUUGAUCGGCCACAUUGGGACUGAGACACGGCCCAAACUCCUACGGGAGGCAGCAGUAGGGAAUCUUCCACAAUGGACGAAAGUCUGAUGGAGCAACGCCGCGUGAAUGAAGAAGGCCUUCGGGUCGUAAAAUUCUGUCGUCAGAGAAGAACGUGCGUGAGAGUAACUGUUCACGUAUUGACGGUAUCUGACCAGAAAGCCACGGCUAACUACGUGCCAGCAGCCGCGGUAAUACGUAGGUGGCAAGCGUUGUCCGGAUUUAUUGGGCGUAAAGGGAACGC